Molecule: ribosomal RNA, 418 nt
Filed under: uncultured bacterium
Lineage: Bacteria
Description: bacterial SSU rRNA
Rfam family: Bacterial small subunit ribosomal RNA
Source: RNAcentral
UGGGGAAUAUUGGGCAAUGGGCGAAAGCCUGACCCAGCAACGCCGCGUGAAGGAAGAAGGCCCUCGGGUUGUAAACUUCUUUUGUCAGGGACGAAGCAAGUGACGGUACCUGACGAAUAAGCCACGGCUAACUACGUGCCAGCAGCCGCGGUAAUACGUAGGUGGCAAGCGUUAUCCGGAUUUACUGGGUGUAAAGGGCGUGUAGGCGGGAGUGCAAGUCAGAUGUGAAAACUAUGGGCUCAACCCAUAGCCUGCAUUUGAAACUGUACUUCUUGAGUGAUGGAGAGGCAGGCGGAAUUCCCUGUGUAGCGGUGAAGUGCGUAGAUAUAGGGAGGAACACCAGUGGCGAAGGCGGCCUGCUGGACAUUAACUGACGCUGAGGCGCGAAAGCGUGGGGAGCAAACAGGAUUAGAUACCC